GACGAACGCUGGCGGCGUGCUUAACACAUGCAAGUCGAACGGAAAGGCCCGGCUUUUGUGGGGUGCGCGAGUGGCGAACGGGUGAGUAACACGUGAGUAACCUGCCCUUGACUUGGGGAUAACUUCAGGAAACUGGGGCUAAUACCGGAUAGGAGCUCCUGCUGCAGGGGGGGGGUUGGAAAGUUUCGGCGGUUGGGGAUGGACUCGCGGCUUAUCAGCGUGUGGGUGGGGUAGUGGCUUACCAAGGCGUUGACGGGUAGCCGGCCUGAGAGGGUGACCGGCCACAUUGGGACUGAGGUACGGCCCAGACUCCUACGGUAGGCAGCAGUGGGGAAUAUUGCACCAUGGGCGGAAGCCUGAUGCAGCAGCGCCGCGUGCGGGAUGGCGGCCUUCGGGUUGUAAACCGCUUUCGCCUGUGACGAAGCGUGAGUGACGGUAAUGGGUAAAGAAGCACCGGCUAACUUCGUU
Molecule: ribosomal RNA, 468 nt
Filed under: uncultured bacterium
Lineage: Bacteria
Description: partial 16S ribosomal RNA
Rfam family: Bacterial small subunit ribosomal RNA
Source: RNAcentral